This is a non-coding RNA of Equus caballus (horse), 229 nucleotides long. NCBI's taxonomy places the organism in Eukaryota, Metazoa, Chordata, Mammalia, Perissodactyla, Equidae. The record is from RefSeq and is a predicted model, not a curated record.
CUAGGAGUCAGAUACAGAUCCACGUGGACUGCUGCAUGGACAAGGCUGCAUUUUUAACAGACAGAUAACAACCCGAAUGAGUGUUAUCCUGUGAAUAAGUGUAUAUCACUAGGAUCCAUGUUCCCAGGGGUCCACGACAGGAACAUGAAGAGGCGCAAAACAGGUGGAGGAAACUCUCCACGCGUUUGCGUGAAGUUGUGGGGUACCUUCUAUCAUGCCUGAUGGAGAA